This 443-nucleotide ribosomal RNA is filed under the name uncultured bacterium. RNAcentral describes it as "partial 16S ribosomal RNA". It matches the Rfam family "Bacterial small subunit ribosomal RNA", at positions 338 to 795 of the family's 1533-position model. The record is from RNAcentral.
CCUACGGGGCGCUGCAGUGGGGAAUAUUGCACAAUGGGGGAAACCCUGAAGCAGCAACGCCGCGUGGAGGAUGAAGGUUUUCGGAUUGUAAAGUUCUUUUCUAAGGGAAGAAGAAAGUGACGGUACCUUAGGAAUAAGCCUCGGCUAACUACGUGCCAGCAGCCGCGGUAAUACGUAGGAGGCGAGCGUUAUCCGGAAUGACUGGGCGUAAAGGGUGCGUAGGUGGGUUGGCAAGUUAGUAGCGUAAGUCCAAGGCUCAACCUUGGAACUACUACUAAAACUGUUGGACUUGAGUGCAGGAGGGGCAACCGGAAUGCCUAGUGUAGCGGUGGAAUGCGUAGAUAUUAGGAGGAACACCAGUGGCGAAGGCAGGUUGCUAGACUGUAACUGACACUGAGGCACGAAAGCGUGGGGAGCAAACAGGAUUAGAUACCCUGGUAGUC